CUGAGCGAGACGGGAGAGCCUGACCAGCCCUGGUUUCUUUCACACCUAUUUACAUGGACACCUUGGCCAAUAGAAAUCACUUCCAGCUCAGGACUGGGAGAGGGGGAAGAGCCGCGGCCACUGGUGGGGAGCCGGACGCGCUGGCGGUGUGCGCGGUGUGAAGGUAUGAAGAGGCAGCAGCCGCGGAGCAGGGAGCCAGGCGACCACUCACGUUCACAGACGGAGCUGCGGCGCAGAUGAUGUUUGACAUGGAAAUUGCUUGGCUGGGGUUCAUGGCAAGAAACACCUUAUCCCUACAGGAAAUCCCACAACCUUUAGCAAUGACUAUUCAUUGCCGUUUGUUCCCAGGAAUGUUUUCUCUUGAAAGCUGAUGGACUGAGCCUCUGUUCCCACAUCUAUCUUCUGUGGCAAAGAAUUCAGAUGUGAAAAGUAGCAGAGAGAAUUUCUCUUUCCUUGAGACCCUGAGGAAACUGAUCAUGACAUUUGGAAAAGUUUCACAAAGAAGCUUUGGCCCAGG
This is a non-coding RNA of Ictidomys tridecemlineatus (thirteen-lined ground squirrel), 517 nucleotides long. NCBI's taxonomy places the organism in Eukaryota, Metazoa, Chordata, Mammalia, Rodentia, Sciuridae. The record is from RefSeq and is a predicted model, not a curated record.